Bos taurus (domestic cattle) is the source of this 2102-nucleotide long non-coding RNA. The record is from Ensembl. Lineage: Eukaryota; Metazoa; Chordata; Mammalia; Artiodactyla; Bovidae.
CUGCACAGCAAAGUGGGCGGCUGUGUGCACACAUACAGCCUCUGUUUUGGAUUCCUUCCCAGGUGGCUUACCACGGCGCCCUCAGUAGCACUUCCCGCGCUGCCCAGGAGGUUGCCAUCAGUCACGGGUGUCGUGCGUCAUGUUGAUGGUGCCUGCACGUUUGAAGCUGCACAGCGAGGACUGUGGACGUGGGCCCAGCCCUGCAGCUGUCCUGAGACGGGGGUGUCGCAAAGGCGGCGGGAGGGAGAUGAGUCUGACCUUCCCACUUGGUUGAGUGUGAACGUCUGAGGGGUGACGUGGAAGUCGCUGGUUUUGAGUGGGGCCCAAAGGAAGAGGUCAAUUUGUAGCACAGAUGGUCCUGCACUUGGGUCAUGAAACUCGGAAGACCUGAGGAUCACACGCCCGGCUGAGCAGCUCCGGACGCACUGUGGUCACGGCAGAAGCGCAGUUGAGGCUGAGCCCUGACGGGGCACUGUGUCAGCCCGUGACUGUGGGACCCUGGGCCAGAUCCAUUUCACCUGCACCAUUAAUCAAAGUCGUUUUAAGACUUUCUCUUCCUCGAGGCCUCACGGGGCCUGGAUGACGAGAUGCUCACCUGAGUUGUUCCCCAGGAGCUUGGAGUCAGCUGGGCCGGGUUCCAGCUGAGCUGGUUAAGAGUGGACAGGACUUCCGAGCCUCCAGGGGGCAAGCACGAAUCUCCUCUCCACGACCUUUGACAUCAGAGCUGAGAACUUCACCCUUAGUCUCUAAGUGCCUCCACUUUUGAACAUGCAGAGGCCUGUGGCGAGGUUAACACCUUCAUGGACCGAGAUUAUCCCAGCUUUUUCCCAUCUCCCUGCACUCCCCACCCAUCCGACCUCAGGCCGCCCUGCUGCUUUAUCCUGUAAGUACUCUGGGCCCCUUGCCUUCGAGGAGGUGGAGCUAAGGUUUGUUCUUCCGUCUCCUUACUUGGCUGAUUUCCUGCAGACUUCAGCAUUUUGGCUAGCUGUGCUUCUGGCAGAGUGAGCCUGGUCCGGCAGCGGCUGGAGCAGUCCAUUUUCAGAUCCACGAGGCUCUUUUGGGCGGGUGUGUCAGCAGCCCAGUGCACACUGAUGCCCACAAGUGGCACCACCAAUGAAUCCCGAAUCACUUAAAUGCAGUUUCAGAAACUGAGAUGGAGUCCAGGUGGAUUUUAUGCAUUGCCUGAAAGAGCUGGUCUCUCUGUAUAUUCAUGCCUGUAGUGUAGCCUUUCAGGAUUUCAACCCAAAGGUGGGACGCUUACAAGAAUCCUUCCUCUUGGCAGCCCUAAGCCUGCAAAGCUGACGAAAUCUUUGUUCACCUUCUCAGCCUUUCCAGCUGUUUUCUUCCGGAAUUGAGUGAAAAACGGUCCUAACUGAAAGGCUUACUUCUCUAGGUGUCCCCUCUUCCCCUUUAUUGGCCUCAUGUCAUCUAUCUAUCUAUAUAUAUAUAUAUGUCUUGUUUUGUAUAUAUGUUUUUUUAAAUCAUUUUUUCAGCUAUUUUCAGUGGGAGGCUUUCUGGAAAUCACCUUUCCCUGUUUCCAAACCAAGCUCUACUGCUUCGGGCGGCAGUAAAGCCGAUCUGCUGACACUGGGUCGCAGUGAAGGAAAAUGCAGCGAUUGCUGCAGGUGCCGAGCAAGGAGUCCCGGCAGCUGGUGCUCAAAAGACCUGCAUUCCUGAAGGCUCUCAGGAAAGUUUUCUACAGACAAAGUGGAGGCAGUGGACAUGGAACGGGGGAGUCCUGUACUGGGAAGGUCCUGUAGGGUCCUGCUCGCUGACAGGCCUAGGAGGCUGAGGCUUUUCUACAGACAGAAGCCCGUGGAGGACACGGAGUGGUGAUCGUGAAGCCAGUUGAAGUAGCUUGAAAACAGAAUGGUUCUUCCUGGAGUCGGUGUCUGCAGACACACCGCUGCACCGGCAACUUCGCGAGCAGGCGCAACGCUGUGAGCGGGGAAGUGGAGGUGGUCUCAGCAGAGACGACAGGACGGGGUGUUCCCCUGCCCCACGUUCUGCUCUGUGGACACAUCGGGCGCGGUGACACACCACAUCCCGAACAAGCACCCUCGAGCAAAGCUCCCUCAAGUUUCAAAACCCCCAGUUCACAC